This 493-nucleotide long non-coding RNA is filed under the name Mus musculus (house mouse). RNAcentral describes it as "RIKEN cDNA 1700012J15 gene, transcript variant 2 (1700012J15Rik)". The record is from RNAcentral. Lineage: Eukaryota; Metazoa; Chordata; Mammalia; Rodentia; Muridae.
AGUCAAAGCUGCCUCUGGGAUCCUGAAAUCCUGGUGUGACCAAGCUCCUGAGGUCCUGUAAUCCUAUGGUCUUGGGAAGGAAACGUAAAGGUUUGCCUUGCCACCUGACAAGUCUGUUGCUUCCCUUCCUGUAUGUGCAGUGACACACUCUCAGCACAGCCUCCUAGGAAUUCUAGAGACUGGUCCAUUGCCUCUGCACAGCAUCUGCAUCCACAGUGAGUUGGCACAAGCAUCCUUGGAGGAUGAGGGAGGAUACCAGUGUGUGAGCCGGGAGGAAUAAUCACUCAGAUCCUCAUCUCAGAUGGAGGCUGCAACAGAUGAAUGGACGUCCCUGAGGAGAUGGCAGGGAAGAAGGGAAUGUUGUCUUCAGGAAGAAGGAGCGCUCCCUGCUCCUUUGUGCUAGCACAGAGGCUGAGUUGAAAUGCUUUGGGGAUGAAGACUAGAAAGAGAGGGUGUCUGUUUUCUUAGUAAAGGAUUCCUUGCUAAGGACAAA